AUUAUUGUGGGAUUUACUUGGCCUAGGGAAGAAACUCAAAACUGCCACAGGGUUGAGACUUAAUUAUAAUGGGUCCAAAGUGGUGGUUGAAAUUGUAGCUUCUGGGUUAUGCAGGUAAAAUAAAAUGGGGCUGUAAACUGUCUAUGAUGACUUCUGUGGUAACAAAGCUGUUAAAGUAAUAGGGCUGACACUACUUGGAUGUUUCCCUCUCUCAAGAAGAUACUGUUACAGACUAGAAAAUCAUUUUCCUACGCUACAGUUCACUUUAGAAACAGAGUUUUGGGGUCAGUCAGCAUUCUUUACCAGUUUCUUGACUGUCAUUUUGGGGACCUGGAAGCACUGGAAUUUAGUCAGCUGCAGGCAGUUUGUGGCCUGAAAGAUGCCCUGAUGUGGGAGAAGGACGAGGAUUGUGGGGGCUGAGAUCCCCUCUCUUGGGUCUCGCUCCCUCCCACCUGCCGUGCUGCCUGUGUGAAACUGGCUGUCCCUUGGGCACAGGGACCACCUGCUAUCUCCCCUCAGGAGCCAUUGGCUCCAGCGCCCUCCUCAUCCCGUGCCUGGGGUCCCCUCAGCGACACCGUGGCAACAACAUUCUGAGGGGGUCAGGGGUCCUCAGUGACACCCCUUCGAUGCAGCAUCCCGUGCUGGACAGUGGAUGAGAGGGGGCGAAGCAUCCGGACAUGCCACUGGAGAAGGGAAAGAAGGAAAGGGAGGCCCCAUGCUGUUGUCAGGCCUGCUGCUUGAGUGGAGAAGAUUUCAAUCACGGCUUUAACAGUUUUCAGAAGGAUGACUGUGGAUCUCAAGAAGGUUUGCUGACAGGUGAUUUCUCUGACACCUUGGAAGACAAGAAAGGACAUUCCCAGCAUGUUCUGCACACCUACACCUGGGUGCACAAGCUCAAUCCAGACAAAGUUCAUUUAUUCUGAUGGAGUAUCCACGAAGACUGGGUUUGUAACGAGGCCAGAACUGUGUGGUGUGACAAUCAGCUGUCCUCCUCCUGGAAGUUUCUCAGUGAGCUGUGCAUGCAUGAACACACAUUUCUUUUUUUCCUCCCACACACAAAAGCUCUGUGUCAAGUUGUUUGAGUGAGUUGUGACACGUAUUAAUGUUGUUGGCUUCUAAUGUUGUUGGGUUCUUUCCACUGGGGGCUGACUACUGCAAUCCCAUUGGAAAAGUUUUCCACCAAACUCAGAAAUAACUUUCAUUAAAACUCUAUCCAGAUACCCUCAAGCAUGAGUGUCUUUCUACUCAUGAAUGUAAGCAGCAAAGAAAAGCAAUAAAUCCCUUUGAAUAAUGUGCCA
RNAcentral lists this long non-coding RNA (1298 nucleotides) under Manacus vitellinus (golden-collared manakin). RNAcentral describes it as "lncRNA (ENSMVIG00005011131.1)". The record is from RNAcentral. Lineage: Eukaryota; Metazoa; Chordata; Aves; Passeriformes; Pipridae.